ACUCUUUGUUGCGUGUACGACUUUUUGUAUUCUCUACUAAUUUGACGUGCUCCAUCAAUAUUUUGAAAUUCAAAUAAAACAUUAACCUAUUUUCUUGAAACUGGUUUAGCAAUUCGUUUUUUUCUUUCUAAAAGGGAAAAAUAGUGGGCAAUUUGAUGUUAUUUCCGCCAAAGAAAAGAAGAAGAUAUUUUUGAUGCUAUUCGUAAAUUAUUUAGACGUUUAACAAUAUGAAAAGAAGAAAGCAGCAUAUAUUUUAGUGAUAAGAACAUAUAUAUUUUUCACUAAAGAUUCAUAAUUUUUUUUUAUUUUUGAGGCAAAUUAAUUUAAGAGUUUUAGUAUACGGUAUUUUUAACAUAAGAUAUAUUUAUUAGAUUCUCUCAAUAAUAUUUUAAGGUCUUAAUUGAAAUAAAUAGAAGAAUCACUACGAAAUGGUCUCUGUGAUAGAUAACUUAUUUAUUUUGAUUUUAUCCAUACGCGGAAUGAAACGUGUUUGGUGUAUUCAACACCGACUCUUUCUCUACCUUUAUAAAUAGUGGUCAUUCCAUUUGUUCAAGUCACAACACAUAAAGCAAUCAAAAAGAAGAAAAACAAACAAACUACAACUUUAAAUUAAAGAGAAGAGAAGCAAUGGCAGGUUCUAACUGUGGAUGUGGUUCCGGUUGCAAAUGUGGCGACUCUUGCAGUUGCGAGAAGAACUACAACACGGAGUGCGACAACUGCAGCUGCGGAUCAAACUGUAGCUGUGGGGACAGCUGCAGCUGUUAAUUGUGAUGUAAAUCACAUGUACGCAGGAAAAUCGGUGGGAAAAAAUGUGUUUGAUGUUAAGA
This is a long non-coding RNA of Raphanus sativus (radish), 827 nucleotides long. RefSeq lists it as uncharacterized. The transcript is spliced from 2 exons. Lineage: Eukaryota; Viridiplantae; Streptophyta; Magnoliopsida; Brassicales; Brassicaceae. The record is from RefSeq and is a predicted model, not a curated record.